AAUAAAGCAUUCAAUUUUUUAUUUAUAGAGCGUUAAAAAAAUUAUUUAUGAAAUGCAAAAUAAGAAAAAUAUGGCUCAAAUUCCCAUGUUUGUUUAUGCUUUGAUCAUAUUUCUUUCUAUAUAUGGUUAUAAGAAGACUGAUAUUCCCUGUAAAUCUGUUAGUGAUUGUCCAGAACCAGCACAUAACCGUUUUGUUUGGCAGUGCAAUGAUAAGAAUUUGUGUGUGAGAUUCUAUUUGGAACAGUAGAAUAUAAUUUAAUAUGCAAAAAUUUGCUCUGAAAUGUUAGACUAUAGGAACAACAAAUUUGGAAUAAAAUAAGAUGUUUUGUAGUAUGAUUAAUGGUCUCAUUUUAAAUAAUAUGUAUGUUUGAGAUCUGUUCAAGUCUUAUAACACGAAAUACCUGUAUUUUUAUUUGCUUAAUCAUAUAAUUUAUAGUAUAAAUUUGUAUUGGUUAUUGAUUGAUUUCCUUAAAUAAUUUGGGAAAAUGGAAAACAACGGUAAACUUCAAAGCUCUA
Trifolium pratense (red clover) is the source of this 516-nucleotide long non-coding RNA. RefSeq lists it as uncharacterized. The record is from RefSeq and is a predicted model, not a curated record. The transcript has 3 exons. NCBI's taxonomy places the organism in Eukaryota, Viridiplantae, Streptophyta, Magnoliopsida, Fabales, Fabaceae.